AGAGAGAGAGAGAGAAAGAGAAGGUUCAUAUCCCUUACUUUUGCAAUUCCUCAGCUCCAUGCGCAAAGCGGCACCUAUCCCCAAAAGUGCAAGUUCCUUUAGCAUAGUUCUCACACAGCUUAGUUUUGAAGUUGUUUGCUGGGCCAGAAGAAUGUAUAGCGUGGUUCCUCAUUGGAGGACCAGAUGCGUGACUGACAUUCCCAAUAAGCUCA
This 212-nucleotide unclassified non-coding RNA is filed under the name Hevea brasiliensis (rubber tree). Lineage: Eukaryota; Viridiplantae; Streptophyta; Magnoliopsida; Malpighiales; Euphorbiaceae. The record is from RNAcentral.